GUGCAUAAAGAUACACUUGUAAAGAUAUGACUAACCCUCUGGAGGAUUCAUGUGGACAAGCACCUUCACACAUGCAAACUUGUACACACAGUCAUCCCCUCCCCUUCGGCCCCCGUAACCCAGUACGAUUUCCUGCAAAUUCCAAAGUCAGAUCCCGGCUGGAACAUUUCAGCCCGCCUGCCACGUCAGUUUGCCGUUUUUCACUCUCUCUUUGCUUAUUGCAAAAGGCGACCAACAUAAAAAUGAACCAUCUUGGUUGUUUCUGGGCAAAGUGAAGCCACUAGCAUGGAUCUCAUCUUUAGUUUUGGUUUUGAGUAGUCAUCUAAUGGGGCUCUUUUUGGCAGAAGAAUGGAAACAACUAAACGAAUCAAGCUUCCAAGGGUAGCGACCUGCAGACGCAAUAACCUCUGGGUCCUUCCUCUCAGAAUCCUUCUCAUCCCCCCUACCCCGCCUGCCCAGUGUUCAGACUACCUGUUCCUCAGGGUACAGCUGAACAGUAGUCUGCACAUUGGUUAGGCUGGGCUGAGAUUCGCAAACACCUCCUGCCCCUGAUGGUAAUGGCACCACAUUUCCAUGAAGGAUAAGUGUGCCCACCUUGAUGAUCCCCACAGUAUCAUCAGUGUUUUGUUAAGUGUCAAAAACAUGAUCAACAUCUUUGUACAUUCUUUUGGUGCUGUGUUAUCAGCAUUAAAACAGAACUUUACUUACCUCUUCGUCUUUGUACCAGGACAGGGACUCAGCUGUCAGGACAAACCAGUACUCCUUGGAACCUCCUUUCAUGAUACUGAUGUUGAUGGUUAGCCAGCCUUUUCUGAUUACCUACACAAUGAGGAGAACGUGCGGGAGCGACAAGAGUUGCAGGGAGAGAGGGAUACCAGGAUGGAGGAAAACAGUUUUAACAAUCACGCUCAUGGAAUAUUGAUUUGUGGGUCUGAUUAAGUGCUGCAUUAGUGAUUUAUGGAAUCAGCUGAUAUUAAUAAAGUCUUACUCACUUACCUCUGAGAUAACAGUAAA
Melanotaenia boesemani (Boeseman's rainbowfish) is the source of this 1014-nucleotide long non-coding RNA. RefSeq lists it as uncharacterized. The record is from RefSeq and is a predicted model, not a curated record. The transcript has 2 exons. NCBI's taxonomy places the organism in Eukaryota, Metazoa, Chordata, Actinopteri, Atheriniformes, Melanotaeniidae.